This 879-nucleotide ribosomal RNA is filed under the name Phaeosphaeria graminis. Its description in RNAcentral is "LSU rRNA". It matches the Rfam family "Eukaryotic large subunit ribosomal RNA", at positions 74 to 967 of the family's 3401-position model. The record is from RNAcentral. Lineage: Eukaryota; Fungi; Ascomycota; Dothideomycetes; Pleosporales; Phaeosphaeriaceae.
AUUGCCCUAGUAACGGCGAGUGAAGCGGCAACAGCUCAAAUUUGAAAUCUGGCCUCCUUUGGGGGUCCGAGUUGUAAUUUGCAGAGGGUGCUUUGGCGUCGGCAGCGGUCUAAGUUCCUUGGAACAGGACAUCACAGAGGGUGAGAAUCCCGUACGUGGUCGCCUGCCUUCGCCGUGUAAAGCCCCUUCGACGAGUCGAGUUGUUUGGGAAUGCAGCUCUAAAUGGGAGGUAAAUUUCUUCUAAAGCUAAAUACCGGCCAGAGACCGAUAGCGCACAAGUAGAGUGAUCGAAAGAUGAAAAGCACUUUGGAAAGAGAGUCAAACAGCACGUGAAAUUGUUGAAAGGGAAGCGCUUGCAGCCAGACUUGCUCGUAGUUGCUCAUCCGGGUCCGCCCGGAGCACUCUUCUGCGAGCAGGCCAGCAUCAGUUUGGGCGACCGGAUAAAGGCCUCUGUCAUGUACCUUCCUUCGGGAAGGCCUUAUAGGGGAGGCGAAAUGCGGCCAGCCCGGACUGAGGUCCGCGCAUCUGCUAGGAUGCUGGCGUAAUGGCUGUAAGCGGCCCGUCUUGAAACACGGACCAAGGAGUCUAACAUCUAUGCGAGUGUUUGGGUGUCAAGCCCGGGCGCGUAAUGAAAGUGAACGGAGGUGGGAACCCUCUUCGGGGGGUGCACCAUCGACCGAUCCUGAUGUCUUCGGAUGGAUUUGAGUAAGAGCAUAGCUGUUGGGACCCGAAAGAUGGUGAACUAUGCUUGAAUAGGGUGAAGCCAGAGGAAACUCUGGUGGAGGCUCGCAGCGGUUCUGACGUGCAAAUCGAUCGUCAAAUUUGGGCAUAGGGGCGAAAGACUAAUCGAACUAUCUAGUAGCUGGUUCCUGCCGAAGU